RNAcentral lists this ribosomal RNA (674 nucleotides) under Bacillus sp. 779. RNAcentral describes it as "bacterial SSU rRNA". It matches the Rfam family "Bacterial small subunit ribosomal RNA", at positions 61 to 718 of the family's 1533-position model. The record is from RNAcentral. Lineage: Bacteria; Bacillati; Bacillota; Bacilli; Caryophanales; Bacillaceae.
GUCGAGCGAAUCAAUAGGAGCUUGCUCCUGUUGGUUAGCGGCGGACGGGUGAGUAACACGUGGGCAACCUGCCUGUAAGACUGGGAUAACUUCGGGAAACCGGAGCUAAUACCGGAUAAUUYCUUCCCUCGCAUGAGGGAAGRUUGAAAGUCGGUUUCGGCUGACACUUACAGAUGGGCCCGCGGCGCAUUAGCUAGUUGGUGAGGUAACGGCUCACCAAGGCGACGAUGCGUAGCCGACCUGAGAGGGUGAUCGGCCACACUGGGACUGAGACACGGCCCAGACUCCUACGGGAGGCAGCAGUAGGGAAUCUUCCACAAUGGACGAAAGUCUGAUGGAGCAACGCCGCGUGAGCGAUGAAGGCCUUCGGGUCGUAAAGCUCUGUUGUCAGGGAAGAACAAGUAUCGGAGUAACUGCCGGUACCUUGACGGUACCUGACCAGAAAGCCACGGCUAACUACGUGCCAGCAGCCGCGGUAAUACGUAGGUGGCAAGCGUUGUCCGGAAUUAUUGGGCGUAAAGCGCGCGCAGGCGGUCCUUUAAGUCUGAUGUGAAAGCCCACGGCUCAACCGUGGAGGGUCAUUGGAAACUGGGGGACUUGAGUGCAGAAGAGGAAAGCGGAAUUCCACGUGUAGCGGUGAAAUGCGUAGAGAUGUGGAGGAACACCAGUGGCGA